RNAcentral lists this ribosomal RNA (468 nucleotides) under uncultured bacterium. Its description in RNAcentral is "partial 16S ribosomal RNA". It matches the Rfam family "Bacterial small subunit ribosomal RNA", at positions 28 to 507 of the family's 1533-position model. The record is from RNAcentral.
GACGAACGCUGGCGGCGUGCUUAACACAUGCAAGUCGAACGGAAAGGCCCUGCUUUUGUGGGGUGCUCGAUUGGCGAACGGGUGAGUAACACGUGAGUAACCUGCCCUUGACUUUGGGAUAACUUCAGGAAACUGGGGCUAAUACCGGAUAGGAGCUCCUGCUGCAUGGUGGGGGUUGGAAAGUUUCGGCGGUUGGGGAUGGACUCGCGGCUUAUCAGCUUGUUGGUGGGGUAGUGGCUUACCAAGGCUUUGACGGGUAGCCGGCCUGAGAGGGUGACCGGCCACAUUGGGACUGAGAUACGGACCAGACUCCUACGGGAGGCAGCAGUGGGGAAUAUUGCACAAUGGGCGGAAGCCUGAUGAAGCAACGCCGCGUGCGGGAUGACGGCCUUCGGGUUGUAAACCGCUUUCGCCUGUGACGAAGCGUGAGUGACGGUAAUGGGUAAAGAAGCACCGGCUAACUACGUG